RNAcentral lists this ribosomal RNA (253 nucleotides) under uncultured bacterium. RNAcentral's name for it is "partial 16S ribosomal RNA". It matches the Rfam family "Bacterial small subunit ribosomal RNA", at positions 524 to 776 of the family's 1533-position model. The record is from RNAcentral.
UACGUAGGGUGCGAGCGUUGUCCGGAAUUAUUGGGCGUAAAGAGCUUGUAGGCGGUUUGUCGCGUCUGCUGUGAAAAUCCGGGGCUCAACCCCGGACUUGCAGUGGGUACGGGCAGACUGGAGUGUGGUAGGGGAGACUGGAAUUCCUGGUGUAGCGGUGGAAUGCGCAGAUAUCAGGAGGAACACCGAUGGCGAAGGCAGGUCUCUGGGCCACUACUGACGCUGAGAAGCGAAAGCAUGGGGAGCGAACAGG